UUGCAGACCAGCGAGCUAUCAAUCAAGUCAACAACCUUAAGGAUGCUGCCGUGGCAUUAGUUCAUUCAAAUUCCAGUGAUGAUAAUGGAGGAACAUAAUCAUGGGUAUCAAGGCUCUGAAACACGAGGAGUACUUGCGUCAGGAAUCAUGAUAUCCACACAUACUGAGCUUCUUUCUGAACCCAAUAGUUCACAUGCAGAGGGAUCAGGAGUUAAAAUUCUUCAAUUGAGGGAUUCACAUAAAGGAGACUUCUACAACAUGCAGUGACCUAUCUAAAAUUCUAGGUAUCCAAUGCAUGUACUUCUCUGUUGGUACUUGGUGGCUUCAUAUGUAAGCUGAUGUGGCCUACAUUACCACAUUAGCAGUAACCACUCUAAGCAGUUAUAAGUGGGAGUUACGUAGCGUUCCCCUAACCACCUUGAUGGGAGGUGGUUACUGUGGGUGGUAUAAGGUAAACGUAUGUAGGGUCCCUCAUUUUAUGUCGAUGGUAGAGAAAUCCAUCUCUUCUCUACAUUCCUGAGAGACAAGAAACCAGAAGCACCUCUUUCCAAAACCUUCUUCUCUCUCUCUCUCUCUAACUGGAAUUGCAUCACCUUAGUUAGAGAAUGAAAGGAAUGCAUGGACAGCAAAGGUGGGAUUGCGAUCCUUGAGGAGGUAAGUUCCGCUACCCUCUCCCUUUGGUAAAUGUUCUUACACCAUAAUCUUGUCUCUUCUCUGAUUACCUAUGGUAGAAUGGUAGAGUGCAGAAGAUAUGAUGUCUCAUCUUUUUGGUUUGAGCAAUCUCCACGUCUCCUUGGGAAGUCUGAAUGCUUUCUCAAUUCCAUAUUUGUGACAGCUAUGGCAUGGUUAGAGCAGAAAUCCCAAUUGUAUAAUUUCUGCUUUGUGCAGGAGUUUGGCUUAUUACAAUUCUCGUAAGUAAUUUUUUUGUUGCUGCUAAUGGACAUUACAUUUGCCAUGUUGUUAGCUGACAUGUUCUUUUUAUCAACAUGGGUGCUUUUGAACAAUGAAGGGAGCACCAAAAUGAGGACUACCCUUUGGGGCUGCUCAUUUUUAAUGUUUAUUAAGUAUACCCUCAUUGAUCAUAUGUGACUUCACGUCUCCUCAAUUAUAUCUUUCAUUCUCUUGGUUGGUAUUAAAUUGGUCUUUCGUAUCAUCGUUCCUUCUGUUUUAAGAAGACCUUGUAAUCCAGUUGGUAAUUUUUGUAUUUUAUUUGUUGAUUCAUCAGUUCAGGCAUAGACAUCAAAAUGCUUGAAUAAGAAAACAGUUAAACAGAGCAUAAGUCAUGGUUUAUGUAUAGCAAGUUCAAUUUUCAGAAAUGGAAUUAAGAAGUGAAACAUGUGAAAACUGCAUGAACAUCAAAGCAAGCAGCAGAGUACUGCUGAAAAUGUAGAAAAGGUCAUUCUCAGAUCUUGAAGGGUUGGAAUAAGGGAAGAUUGUUCAACAUAUUCUUGGGAUUUCUCAUAAACUUAUGUGUUUUUCUUGAAAAUCAUAGCCUACGUCUCUUGGCAUAGGAGUCACAAUGAUGAAAUGGCGGUCUUACUACAACGGGAGCAAAUAGGUGGGUCAAGUUGUAAGGAAUUGAAGAUUCUUGAAGGUGUAUUCACCACUGAAGUGAUCGAUUAAUUGGUCAGGACGCGCUUAUCAUCAUUGUGGUACACGCAACAUACAUGCAGAGUUGGACAGACCAAUUUUAAUGGUCAGACCUGCAUAAUUUCUAGAGUUAAAACCAAGCAGAGAUGCAGAUAGCUGUCAAUAUCCAUCUUCUGUUCUCAUUAUGUGUUAUGUUCUUUUGCCUUAAUUGAUGUUGUAAAGAAGGAUUUAAGCAUGCAGGGCCAUAUGCUAAAGCCUCCAGACAGCAUGGGUAAAAGCAUGAAGUUGUUGAAUUGUACUUCAGUGAGUUUGGUGGGUGAGCCCAUGCAAAUUGUUUGGAUCAGAUGAUUGAAUCAAUCUAUCUAUAGAUUUCCUUCGAGCACUGACAACCUACAUCUUCUUUCUUGUUUUGUAUGACACAGCUGGCUGCCUAAUGGCAAAUGCUAAACCAGAAUCAGAGGUGGAGCUUGUGUGGUGAGACACUUACUCCUUAAAAAAAACGAGAGCAACCCAGACACUUUACUCUUUUCUUUAUUUAUUUAUUUUGAUAUUUUUCUAUGUAUGAUGUGUGUGUGUUUAUUUAUUUAUUUUUGGGCUGACUUAAGAACGUGCCUCUUAUGAAGGGGUUAUGUCAUGAUGAGCCUUAAAUUACAUAUAACCCACUUUGUUUCAGAACAUAUGGAAAAUUAGACCUCA
Macadamia integrifolia is the source of this 2286-nucleotide long non-coding RNA. RefSeq lists it as uncharacterized. NCBI's taxonomy places the organism in Eukaryota, Viridiplantae, Streptophyta, Magnoliopsida, Proteales, Proteaceae. The transcript is spliced from 3 exons. The record is from RefSeq and is a predicted model, not a curated record.